This 73-nucleotide transfer RNA is filed under the name Camelus bactrianus (Bactrian camel). It matches the Rfam family "tRNA". Rfam says of the family: Transfer RNA (tRNA) molecules are approximately 80 nucleotides in length. Their secondary structure includes four short double-helical elements and three loops (D, anti-codon, and T loops). Further hydrogen bonds mediate the characteristic L-shaped molecular structure. tRNAs have two regions of fundamental functional importance: the anti-codon, which is responsible for specific mRNA codon recognition, and the 3' end, to which the tRNAs corresponding amino acid is attached (by aminoacyl-tRNA synthetases). tRNAs cope with the degeneracy of the genetic code in two manners: having more than one tRNA (with a specific anti-codon) for a particular amino acid; and 'wobble' base-pairing, i.e. permitting non-standard base-pairing at the 3rd anti-codon position. Lineage: Eukaryota; Metazoa; Chordata; Mammalia; Artiodactyla; Camelidae. RNAcentral also lists the same sequence under 1 other name. The record is from Rfam by way of RNAcentral.
GGGGGUAUAACUCAAACGGUAGGGUGCAUGCUUAGCGUGCAAGAGGCCCUGGGUUCAAUUCCCAGUACCCCAA